RNAcentral lists this ribosomal RNA (429 nucleotides) under Bacteroidota bacterium. RNAcentral's name for it is "Bacteroidetes bacterium partial 16S ribosomal RNA". It matches the Rfam family "Bacterial small subunit ribosomal RNA", at positions 355 to 776 of the family's 1533-position model. Lineage: Bacteria; Pseudomonadati; Bacteroidota. The record is from RNAcentral.
UAGGGAAUCUUCGGCAAUGGGGGGAACCCUGACCGAGCAACGCCGCGUGAGUGAAGAAGGUUUUCGGAUCGUAAAGCUCUGUUGUUAAGGAAGAACGAGUGUGAGAAUGGAAAGUUCAUACUGUGACGGUACUUAACCAGAAAGGGACGGCUAACUACGUGCCAGCAGCCGCGGUAAUACGUAGGUCCCGAGCGUUUUCCGGAUUUAUUGGGCGUAAAGCGAGCGCAGGCGGUUAGAUAAGUCUGAAGUUAAAGGCAGUGGCUCAACCAUUGUAGGCUUUGGAAACUGGUUAACUUGAGUGCAGAAGGGGAGAGUGGAAUUCCAUGUGUAGCGGUGAAAUGCGUAGAUAUAUGGAGGAACACCGGUGGCGAAAGCGGCUCUCUGGUCUGUAACUGACGAUGAGGCUCGAAAGCGUGGGGAGCGAACAGG